CUGCCAUUUGUAUGGAAUGCUUUAGGAAGUUUAGAAAGUUAGGAAGUAACUAGAUAUUCAUUCCAAUCAGAAAAGGAAAUUAAAUUAUUCACCCAGGCAGGGUGAUCGAGAGAAGGAGAGCAGUUGCUGAACUUUGCCACACUACCCUUUAGCUGCAGAACCGACAUUCACGUCUUAGCCACUUUGGGGGUAAACCAUGAAAGAUAAAGUGCAUAUGAUUAAUUUAGUGUUUAAUAAGAUUUCAGAGGGCAAAUUUAUUCCAGGCUCCACUGUUAAAGCUAAACUCUUUUUAAAAAUAUUUUUCUAGGCUUUUAAUUCAUCUUGCUUUUCAUAGUAUUCUGUCAUUUCCACUAUAGUUAAAUAUUUUGUGUUCCUAUUCAGUGUAGCUGGCAUGUUUGGAUUUGUGUACAUACACAAUGCUUGCAGAUAUGGGGCCUGAAGGACCGAUCCAGGUAAAGCAACUUAAUUGUUUAAAAAUGCCUGUGAGUGCUUUGUGAAGCUUUCAAAGGUUCUAAAAUGGCUGAGCCAAUUAGUAGAAAUUAGCAGUAGGAAUUGGAUGCUUUAGAAAGUCUCCAUGGGUCUCUGUUUCCAUCCUUAUGCCUGUGAGAAACAUUAAGUGCCUUAGGAUCUGAACCAAAGGUUCUGGAACUCUAAAGCAAAUACACAUUAGGUUUUGUGACUUGGAGGGGGAACCAGGCAGGGCACUCGUGUUUGGGCAGGACGUGCUGUGUGCAUCUAUCAGCUGAGUCAAUGCGCAUUGAACCCAACUGUGGCUUGGAACCAGGAUUGUAAAACUUUAGGAUGAUCUGGAAGAGAGAGGGGGGUGAAAUGGGACGAUAGCUUUACAAAGAUCUCACAGGUUAGGUGGCAGCAGUGUUUUUUUUUAAAAAAAUCUUGGUCAUUUUUGGUCUUUCCCUUGUCCCCAGUGGAGAUAUCCUGGGGUCUUCUGUUGGGAUCACAGAUUGCACUUCACAUUUUCAUCUGUGAAUGUAUCAAAAGCUUGCUGGAAAAUAGAGUAUUGCAAAUGUCUCUCCAGUCCUGCUCAAGGAAAAUCAUUCCUUGUUUCUUCUUCAGGACUACAUUUUACUCCUCCAUCCCUUCUCCAAUUGCAUCACUUAUUUCAUCCAUUCCAUCUACAAUAGAAAAACCUUCAGAUGAGUAGAGAAUAAGAUUUAAUAAAUGGAAAAUAAUUGUAAGCUAGAGCUUCAUGUUUGCCCACAUCAGAAAAAUUGCAUAAAUCUAGAGAGUAAAUUUGUUGGAUGCUGCUUAUUUUAUUCUCUCUGACCUAGACCCAAAUGUACUGCCUUGCCGGCAAGAUUACACUAGAGCUGGCCACAACCAGAUGUAUUUCAGCAAAAUAAUCUUAUAUUUACAAUACUGGUUUCAACCUUCAAAAACUUCAUGAAACUUUUUGAGAAAAUAUUUCUGAAAACCAUUCUUAGAGUUGGGGACUUGAAAUUUUCCAUACACCAUGUGCACAAGUACAACCCAGAAAUCUGCAGCAGUUCUCAGAUGAUCCUUAAGCUCCUUACCGAAAAGGGC
This 1542-nucleotide long non-coding RNA is filed under the name Cairina moschata (Muscovy duck). RNAcentral describes it as "domestica (muscovy Duck (domestic type)) lncRNA (ENSCMMG00000013291.1)". Lineage: Eukaryota; Metazoa; Chordata; Aves; Anseriformes; Anatidae. The record is from RNAcentral.